This 261-nucleotide ribosomal RNA is filed under the name uncultured prokaryote. Its description in RNAcentral is "partial 16S ribosomal RNA". It matches the Rfam family "Bacterial small subunit ribosomal RNA", at positions 524 to 784 of the family's 1533-position model. The record is from RNAcentral.
UACAGAGGUCUCAAGCGUUGUUCGGAUUUACUGGGCGUAAAGGGAGCGUAGGCGGUUUGGUAUGUCGAAUGUGAAAGCCCACAACUCAACUGUGGAAAUGCAUUCGAAACUGCCGGACUAGAGUACUGGAGAGGAGAGCGGAAUUCUUGGUGUAGCGGUGAAAUGCGUAGAUAUCAAGAGGAACACCAGUGGCGAAGGCGGCUCUCUGGACAGAUACUGACGCUGAGGCCCUAAAGUUAGGGGAGCAAACAGGAUUAGAUA